GGGUUGUGAGGUUAAGCGACUAAGCGUACACGGUGGAUGCCCUGGCAGUCAGAGGCGAUGAAGGACGUGCUAAUCUGCGAAAAGCGUCGGUAAGGUGAUAUGAACCGUUAUAGCCGGCGAUGUCCGAAUGGGGAAACCCAGUGCAAUUCGUUGCACUAUCGUUAACUGAAUACAUAGGUUAACGAGGCGAACCGGGGGAACUGAAACAUCUAAGUACCCCGAGGAAAAGAAAUCAACCGAGAUUCCCCCAGUAGCGGCGAGCGAACGGGGAGCAGCCCGGAGUCUGAAUCAGCUUGUGUGUUAGUGGAAGCGUCUGGAAAGUCGCAGGGUACAGGGUGAUACUCCCGUACACUAAAACACACAGGCUGUGAACUCGAAGAGUAGGGCGGGACACGUGGUAUCCUGUCUGAAUAUGGGGGGACCAUCCUCCAAGGCUAAAUACUCCUGACUGACCGAUAGUGAACCAGUACCGUGAGGGAAAGGCGAAAAGAACCCCGGCGAGGGGAGUGAAAAAGAACCUGAAACCGUGUACGUACAAGCAGUAGGAGCCCACUUGUUGGGUGACUGCGUACCUUUUGUAUAAUGGGUCAGCGACUUAUAUUCUGUAGCAAGGUUAACCGUAUAGGGGAGCCGCAGGGAAACCGAGUCUUAACUGGGCGUUAAGUUGCAGGGUAUAGACCCGAAACCCGGUGAUCUAGCCAUGGGCAGGUUGAAGGUUGGGUAACACUAACUGGAGGACCGAACCGACUAAUGUUGAAAAAUUAGCGGAUGACUUGUGGCUGGGGGUGAAAGGCCAAUCAAACCGGGAGAUAGCUGGUUCUCCCCGAAAGCUAUUUAGGUAGCGCCUCGUGAAUUCAUCUUCGGGGGUAGAGCACUGUUUCGGCUAGGGGGUCAUCCCGACUUACCAACCCGAUGCAAACUACGAAUACCGAAGAAUGUUAUCACGGGAGACACACGGCGGGUGCUAACGUCCGUCGUGAAGAGGGAAACAACCCAGACCGCCAGCUAAGGUCCCAAAGUCAUGGUUAAGUGGGAAACGAUGUGGGAAGGCCCAGACAGCCAGGAUGUUGGCUUAGAAGCAGCCAUCAUUUAAAGAAAGCGUAAUAGCUCACUGGUCGAGUCGGCCUGCGCGGAAGAUGUAACGGGGCUAAACCAUGCACCGAAGCUGCGGCAGCGACACUAUGUGUUGUUGGGUAGGGGAGCGUUCUGUAAGCCGUUGAAGGUGGCCUGUGAGGGUUGCUGGAGGUAUCAGAAGUGCGAAUGCUGACAUAAGUAACGAUAAUGCGGGUGAAAAACCCGCACGCCGGAAGACCAAGGGUUCCUGUCCAACGUUAAUCGGGGCAGGGUGAGUCGACCCCUAAGGCGAGGCCGAAAGGCGUAGUCGAUGGGAAACAGGUUAAUAUUCCUGUACUUGGUGUUACUGCGAAGGGGGGACGGAGAAGGCUAUGUUGGCCGGGCGACGGUUGUCCCGGUUUAAGCAUGUAGGCGGAUGUUCCAGGUAAAUCCGGAACGUCACUAACGCUGAGGUGUGAUGACGAGGCACUACGGUGCUGAAGUGACAAAUGCCCUGCUUCCAGGAAAAGCCUCUAAGCAUCAGGUAACAUCAAAUCGUACCCCAAACCGACACAGGUGGUCAGGUAGAGAAUACCAAGGCGCUUGAGAGAACUCGGGUGAAGGAACUAGGCAAAAUGGUGCCGUAACUUCGGGAGAAGGCACGCUGAUGGUAAGUGAAGUGACUUGCUCAUGGAGCUGAAAUCAGUCGAAGAUACCAGCUGGCUGCAACUGUUUAUUAAAAACACAGCACUGUGCAAACACGAAAGUGGACGUAUACGGUGUGACGCCUGCCCGGUGCCGGAAGGUUAAUUGAUGGGGUUAUCCUCGCGGAGAAGCUCUUGAUCGAAGCCCCGGUAAACGGCGGCCGUAACUAUAACGGUCCUAAGGUAGCGAAAUUCCUUGUCGGGUAAGUUCCGACCUGCACGAAUGGCGUAAUGAUGGCCAGGCUGUCUCCACCCGAGACUCAGUGAAAUUGAACUCGCUGUGAAGAUGCAGUGUACCCGCGGCAAGACGGAAAGACCCCGUGAACCUUUACUAUAGCUUGACACUGAACACUGGUCCUUGAUGUGUAGGAUAGGUGGGAGGCUUUGAAGUGUGGACGCCAGUCUGCAUGGAGCCAUCCUUGAAAUACCACCCUUUAAUGGCUGGUGUUCUAACGUGGGCCCGUAAUCCGGGUUGCGGACAGUGUCUGGUGGGUAGUUUGACUGGGGCGGUCUCCUCCUAAAGAGUAACGGAGGAGCACGAAGGUCAGCUAAUCCUGGUCGGACAUCAGGAGGUUAGUGCAAUGGCAUAAGCUGGCUUGACUGCGAGCGUGACGGCGCGAGCAGGUGCGAAAGCAGGUCAUAGUGAUCCGGUGGUUCUGAAUGGAAGGGCCAUCGCUCAACGGAUAAAAGGUACUCCGGGGAUAACAGGCUGAUACCGCCCAAGAGUUCAUAUCGACGGCGGUGUUUGGCACCUCGAUGUCGGCUCAUCACAUCCUGGGGCUGAAGUAGGUCCCAAGGGUAUGGCUGUUCGCCAUUUAAAGUGGUACGCGAGCUGGGUUUAGAACGUCGUGAGACAGUUCGGUCCCUAUCUGCCGUGGGCGCUGGAGAAUUGAGGGGGGCUGCUCCUAGUACGAGAGGACCGGAGUGGACGCAUCACUGGUGUUCGGGUUGUCAUGCCAAUGGCAUUGCCCGGUAGCUAAAUGCGGAAGAGAUAAGUGCUGAAAGCAUCUAAGCACGAAACUUGCCCCGAGAUGAGUUCUCCCUGACCCUUUAAGGGUCCUGAAGGAACGUUGAAGACGACGACGUUGAUAGGCCGGGUGUGUAAGCGCAGCGAUGCGUUGAGCUAACCGGUACUAAUGAACCGUGAGGCUUAACCUUACAACGCCGAAG
Molecule: ribosomal RNA, 2927 nt
Filed under: Klebsiella oxytoca
Lineage: Bacteria; Pseudomonadati; Pseudomonadota; Gammaproteobacteria; Enterobacterales; Enterobacteriaceae
Description: 23S ribosomal RNA
Rfam family: Bacterial large subunit ribosomal RNA
Source: RNAcentral